Molecule: ribosomal RNA, 253 nt
Filed under: uncultured bacterium
Lineage: Bacteria
Description: partial 16S ribosomal RNA
Rfam family: Bacterial small subunit ribosomal RNA
Source: RNAcentral
UACAGAGGUGGCAAGCGUUGUUCGGAAUUACUGGGCGUAAAGGGCGCGUAGGCGGCCUACUAAGUCAGACGUGAAAUCCCCGGGCUUAACCUGGGAACUGCGCUUGUUACUGGCAGGCUUGAGUGUGGCAGAGGGGGGUGGAAUUCCACGUGUAGCAGUGAAAUGCGUAGAGAUGUGGAGGAACACCGAUGGCGAGGGCAGCCCUCUGGGCUAACACUGACGCUCAUGCACGAAAGCGUGGGGAGCAAACAGG